RNAcentral lists this ribosomal RNA (470 nucleotides) under uncultured bacterium. RNAcentral's name for it is "partial 16S ribosomal RNA". It matches the Rfam family "Bacterial small subunit ribosomal RNA", at positions 28 to 507 of the family's 1533-position model. The record is from RNAcentral.
GACGAACGCUGGCGGCGUGCUUAACACAUGCAAGUCGAACGCUGAAGCACCAGCUUGCUGGUGUGGAUGAGUGGCGAACGGGUGAGUAAUACGUGAGUAACCUGCCCUUGACUCUGGGAUAAGCCCGGGAAACUGGGUCUAAUACUGGAUGCUACAUGUCACCGCAUGGUGGUGUGUGGAAAGGGUUUACUGGUCUUGGAUGGGCUCACGGCCUAUCAGCUUGUUGGUGAGGUAAUGGCUCACCAAGGCGACGACGGGUAGCCGGCCGGAGAGGGUGACCGGCCACACUGGGACUGAGACACGGCCCAGACUCCUACGGGAGGCAGCAGUGGGGAAUAUUGCACAAUGGGCGAAAGCCUGAUGCAGCGACGCCGCGUGAGGGAUGACGGCCUUCGGGUUGUAAACCUCUUUCAGCAGGGAAGAAGCCACAAGUGACGGUACCUGCAGAAGAAGCGCCGGCUAACUACGUG